AGGUCUUCCUGCGGUCGAGAUUCCUACGGGAGGCAGCAGCGGGGAAUAUUGGACAAUGGGCGAAUGCCUGAUCCUCAACGCCGCGUGAGUGAUGAAAGUCUUCCGAUCGUUAAGCUCUGUCGGGAGGAACAAUGCAUUCACUUGCUAAUACCUAGUGCGUCUGAACGUACCUCUAAAGGAAGCUUCCCCUAACUCUGUGCCUCCCGCCGAGGUAACACAGAGGGUGCAAGCGUUGUUCGAAUUCACUGGGCGUAAAGGGCGCGUAGGCGGCCUCGCAAGUCGGAUGUGAAAGCCCAGGGCUCAACCCUGGAAGUGCAUCCGAAACUGCGUGGCUUGAGUGUCGGAGAGGGUGGUGGAAUUCCUGGUGUAGAGGUGAAAUUCGUAAAUAUCACGAGGAACACCCGUGGCGAAGGCGACCACCUGGACGAACACUGACGCUGAGGCGCGAAAGCGUGGGGAGCAAACAGGAUUAGAUACCCUGGUAGUCCACGCCGUAAACGAUGGGUACUAGGUGUUGCGGGUAUUGACCCCUGCAGUGCCGACGCUAACGCAUUAAGUACCCCCGCCUGGGGAGUACGGCCGCAAGGCUAAAACUCAGAUGAAUUGACGG
RNAcentral lists this ribosomal RNA (610 nucleotides) under uncultured Sorangiineae bacterium. RNAcentral describes it as "bacterial SSU rRNA". It matches the Rfam family "Bacterial small subunit ribosomal RNA", at positions 315 to 916 of the family's 1533-position model. The record is from RNAcentral. Lineage: Bacteria; Pseudomonadati; Myxococcota; Myxococcia; Myxococcales.